GACGAACGCUGGCGGCGUGCUUAACACAUGCAAGUCGAACGAGUGGCGAACGGGUGAGUAAUACGUGAGUAAACUGCCCUAUUGUUGGGGUAAGCCUUGGAAACGGGGUCUAAUACCGGCUAAAGGGGGAUGGGCUCGCGGCCUAUCAGCUUGUUGGUGGGGUGAGUGCCCACCAAGGCGGUGACGGGUAGCCGGCCUGAGAGGGUGACCGGCCACAUUGAGACUGAGAUACGGCCUAGACUACGACGGGGGGCAGCAGUGGGGGCUAUUGCACAAUGGGUGAUAGCCUCAUGCAGCGAGGCCGCGGGGGGGAUGAAGGCUUUCGGGUUGUAAACCUCAUUCGCUAGCGAACGGGUAGGUGGAGAAGAAGCGCCGGCUAACUACGUGCCAGCAGCCGCGGUAAUUC
This 406-nucleotide ribosomal RNA is filed under the name uncultured bacterium. RNAcentral's name for it is "partial 16S ribosomal RNA". It matches the Rfam family "Bacterial small subunit ribosomal RNA", at positions 28 to 526 of the family's 1533-position model. The record is from RNAcentral.